AUGGAGAGAUACCUUUCAGCCCCACCAUACGGGAUGCUAAAAGGGAACAGGUCACCUUCUGAGUCUAGUGAAGAGUUGUUUUUUUCUAGUGACCUGUCUUCAAAGCACUAUGAAGAGGCCAAAAAGAAAACUCCAAAGCUACCUAGUCAAACCUCUGUUGGAUUUUACAUUUCAUCCACUUAUCCCUGGAGAGAGAAAAAAGAAGAGGUAGCUGUGGAGCCUGUCAUUUGUUCAGAGGAGGCCAUGAUCAUCCUUCCUGGCAGUACUGACUGACCUUCAGCACCCAACAUGUUGCUUCAAGUUACAGCUGUAAGUUCAGGAAUCUAAAAUGCACUGUGGUUUCUGUCUGAUCCUAAUACCUUGAAAAGUAUAGGAAAUUGACUUAUUAAAAUAAGCCUUACUGUGCCUUAAAAAAAAAAAAAAAAAAAAAAAGCUGAUAAUGUGAUAAUUAAGAUAAAGGUAUUCUAGUUAAAAAGAACCAGAAACCGCUAUGUUCUUAUCUUAUGUAAAUGCUACACUGUGCAAAUCCUCUCAGGCUUAGUCUGACUUGGCCAGUGUAACAUUUCAGCUGUUAUAUUUCAACUGUAAUAAUAAGCAAAAUAUAAUCUUAACAGAUCUUAUCAAAUCACCACAAUCCUUCCACACUCAAGGACAAAGUAACUCCUCAUCAAUGUUAUGUUCUCUGUAAGGGGUUCUUUUGGGGUUUUGAGACUUUUUCUUCCCUUUCUGAAGGAACAAGAGGAGUAUUUGCUAAAAAAAUAGACCAGUCUGUGUUCCUAAGAGCCUAAGAAUGCUGUCUCCUUGUGGAUUACAGCUGGCAGCUGAAAGGUGUAAAGUUUUACAAUUUACAGUGCUGGGAUUUCUUCUUCUUUUUAAUCUCUGCUACUCCAAAACCUUUGGUUUUCUUGGCGAGCUGUGAAACUUUAGAUUGCUAGUUAAAUAGAAAGUUCUGCCUGCAAAUAUUGUAAUGGAUAUACGAACGAGAGGGAAUGUAUAGUAAAUGAAUGCAGAAUGCAUUAAUAUUGUCUAGUGUGGGGAUAAAGGGUGAAACUAUUGGAACAUUUUAGCAGCUACAGGAACUGUCAUAAGAAUGAG
RNAcentral lists this long non-coding RNA (1095 nucleotides) under Coturnix japonica (Japanese quail). Its description in RNAcentral is "lncRNA (ENSCJPG00005004704.1)". Lineage: Eukaryota; Metazoa; Chordata; Aves; Galliformes; Phasianidae. The record is from RNAcentral.